This 466-nucleotide ribosomal RNA is filed under the name uncultured bacterium. RNAcentral describes it as "partial 16S ribosomal RNA". It matches the Rfam family "Bacterial small subunit ribosomal RNA", at positions 28 to 507 of the family's 1533-position model. The record is from RNAcentral.
GAUGAACGCUGGCGGCGUGCUUAACACAUGCAAGUCGAACGGAAGGGCUCCUGCUUGCAGGGGUACUCGAGUGGCGAACGGGUGAGUAACACGUGGGUGAUCUGCCCUGCACUUCGGGAUAAGCUUGGGAAACUGGGUCUAAUACCGGAUAGGACCGCAUUUUGGAUGGUGUGGUGGAAAGUUUUUUCGGUUUGGGAUGAGCUCGCGGCCUAUCAGCUUGUUGGUGGGGUAAUGGCCUACCAAGGCGUCGACGGGUAGCCGGCCUGAGAGGGUGUACGGCCACAUUGGGACUGAGAUACGGCCCGGACUCCUACGGGAGGCAGCAGUGGGGAAUAUUGCACAAUGGGCGCAAGCCUGAUGCAGCGACGCCGCGUGGGGGAUGACGGCCUUCGGGUUGUAAACUCCUUUCGCUAGGGACGAAGAGUAAUUGACGGUACCUGGAGAAGAAGCACCGGCUAACUACGUG